AGGCGUCUGAAUGGCAGAAAAUACGAAUAAUAUGGAGUUACCUGGUGCUUCUGAAGACACUGCAAAACAGGAUGAGGCCGAGGCUGUCAAGACAGAGGAGAAGAUGGAGCGCCUGAUGCUGGAUGAAUUGGAGAAGUUUGCCCUGGAAGGGGAGGCGAAGGAGAAUGGAGAGGGGUUAACCCUGCAGGAUGCAGAGAAGGGAAAGAUCCAGGAAGAAAAGGACCGCCCUGCAAUUCAGGAUGAGGAAGCCCCAGAACGCAGAGAAGAGACGAAGCGGGAGGGACCGCCAAAGGAAGAAUGGGACACUCUGACUCUGCAGGAUGAUGGCCUGCCACUCCGGGAGGAGAAAGAGGAGAAAGAGAAAGAGGGAAGGGGCCUUCUUGCCUGGCAGGCCAAAGAGGAGACCCCGGCAGACGAGGAGAAGACCGAGGCAGAAGAGGAGCCCCGACUCUCAAUGGAUGACAUCCUGAACAUCAUGAAAGAGGAGGAAGAGGAAGAGGAAGAUCAGGAGGAAGAGGAGGCAGCUCCCCAGCAGGACUUGAGGGUACCUCAGACCACUGGUGUAACCAUGUGGUCUCAAUACAGGGAGAGAAUCAAAUUCGCUGUACAGAAACGGAAGCUGUCCUUCCCUCAUCUGGGCUACUUCACCAAGGUCUUCAGCCAAGACUCUUCUGCUUCGGAGAUGAGGAAAAAGUCGAAGGAGGAACCGGUGGUCGAGCAGCCACGGAAAUGGGAUCGUGAACCGAUGUUAUCCAGAUUGUUCACCAUGAUACCAAGUGAUAGUCACCCCAAGAAAUUUGCACUACGUUGGCCAACAGGGAUAACGCAGAGAGAGUGUAACCUUUCAAGGUUAUCUAAGGUCACAGGGAGCUCUCUCGAAGAAGACCACGACAUGAAAGCUUCAGAAUCGCAAGCUGCCGAAAUUGAGAUGGACGACUUAUGUUCCAGGAGCCCUGAGAUCUUACUGUCUAAAUUUGAGGAGCCAGAGGCAGAAACGUUUGCUGAGACAAAAAUGGAGGAGGCGGAAGCCGCUUCCUCGCAUCCAAAGAAAUUACAGGCUGGCUCUUUCUACUCUUAUCAGGAUGGUGGCACGAUUGAGCCAGGUGUUACCAGCUCUGUCUGGAGCAUGGGGCAGCGAAUCAGCCACUGGCGGAUGGCUCACAACCGGGUGAGCCAGGCAGAGCAAAAUCUCCAGGAAAAAGUAUAUAAGCAGAGGCUUCUAAAACACGAGCGGGAGACCAAAACAACAGUACCACUGCCUCUCCAGGAAAAGAUUGAGGAAGAGGUGCUGGCCAUUUUGAUGGACACCUAUAAGGAUUACCAGAAAAAACUGGGAAUGCAUCAUCCCCUCACCACACAAAUGGAGGAGCAGGUGGACAAGAUUUAUCUUCAGCUCCAUGCAAGAGGGGUGGUUUAAAGGAAGGUGUUGCGCCUCAGAGACUGUCCAACCUAGUGCGGAAACUGCUGCAGCUUUGCAAAAUAAAUAAAUAAAUAAAUAGAUCUUCUAAUGAAAU
Molecule: long non-coding RNA, 1514 nt
Filed under: Pogona vitticeps (central bearded dragon)
Lineage: Eukaryota; Metazoa; Chordata; Lepidosauria; Squamata; Agamidae
Description: lncRNA (ENSPVIG00000015834.1)
Source: RNAcentral